Molecule: ribosomal RNA, 98 nt
Filed under: Castor canadensis (American beaver)
Lineage: Eukaryota; Metazoa; Chordata; Mammalia; Rodentia; Castoridae
Source: RNAcentral
UCUAAUGGCCACACCACCUUGAAUGCUCCCAAUCUUGUCUGAUCUUGGAAGCUAAGCAGAGUUGGGCCAGGUUAAUUCUUGGAUGGGAGAAAUUAUAU